UGAAGCUCAACCAGGAGUGGGACCAGAUCUACCACACCACCACGCUGGGGCUGCAGCAGAAGGUGCGGGCCCUGCAGCAGGAGAUGCUGACCCUCAGGCAGCAGAUGGAGAGGCUCACCAUGAAGCUGGACCACGAGCAGAGCAAGAGGGAAUACUACGAACAAACCCUGAUCCAGGAGCUGAAGAAGAACCAGCACCUGCAGGAGUACGUGCGGCAGCUGGAAGGCAACCAGCACCACGGCCAGGAUGGCCGGCCCUCGGCGAGCCGCGAGGCGCUGGGCC
This is a non-coding RNA of Struthio camelus australis, 282 nucleotides long. The record is from RefSeq and is a predicted model, not a curated record. Lineage: Eukaryota; Metazoa; Chordata; Aves; Struthioniformes; Struthionidae.